GAGGAAAGUCCGGGCUCUAAUUAGUGAAAGUAUAGCUGUAUAAAAUACAGUAUAGGUAACUAUAAGGAGAGUGCCACAGAAAUAAACCGCCUAACUCAAAAUUAAUAUGAUAUAGGUAAGGGUGCAAAGGUACAGUAAGAGCGUACCAGAAGUAUGUUUAAAAUACUUGCUAGGCAAACCCCAUAAAAGAGCAAAGUAAUAAAAUUGUACACUCAGAAUAUCUAUCAUAAAUAAAUUGAUUGUACUAAACUUUUUAUAUUCAUUACUGCAAAGAAAUUGUAUGUAAAUACAAACAAAAGAUUAAUAACUACCCUUAAUAAAUUUCAUUUUUAUACACCUUAUAUAAAUCUUAAAAUUAUUAAGAACAAAAUCCGGCUUAU
RNAcentral lists this RNase P RNA (380 nucleotides) under Gracilaria firma. RNAcentral describes it as "Crassa firma putative ribonuclease P". The stretch from base 2 to 191 matches the Rfam family "Bacterial RNase P class A", at positions 44 to 222 of the family's 367-position model. Rfam says of the family: Ribonuclease P (RNase P) is a ubiquitous endoribonuclease, found in archaea, bacteria and eukarya as well as chloroplasts and mitochondria. Its best characterised activity is the generation of mature 5'-ends of tRNAs by cleaving the 5'-leader elements of precursor-tRNAs. The record is from RNAcentral. Lineage: Eukaryota; Rhodophyta; Florideophyceae; Gracilariales; Gracilariaceae.